This is an RNA transcript of Gallus gallus (chicken), 27353 nucleotides long. RefSeq lists it as uncharacterized. Lineage: Eukaryota; Metazoa; Chordata; Aves; Galliformes; Phasianidae. The record is from RefSeq and is a predicted model, not a curated record. The transcript is spliced from 4 exons.
CCGCCUGCCGCCGCCGCGCUUGUUAGGCGGCGCGGGCGCGGGAGCAGGUGCCCAGCAGCAGGUGCCCGGCAGCAGCCCGCACCGCACCGCACCGCGCCGCGCAGGAGCGGAGGGGCUCGAGCGAGAGGCGCGGUCCCGGCCGUAAGCAAGAAACUUUCCUCGCUCACAGAGCCCUCUUGGAGCAGCACGGCGCCCCGCUGCCAGGGAGCUCCUGGCGCCGGUCCGGCCCCGCCGCCCUUCUGGUUGCGGAGAGGCGCUCCCGGCCCGACGGACCCCGCGCCGCGUCCGUGCCGGAGGUGCCGCCAAAUCCGGACCGGAGCAGAAGGGAUUCACUGUGAACUAUGAGCGCUGCGACAAAAGUUUUCUAAGUGACAGAUGCGUGCAUAAGUAAACUUGUAUGCAGAAAUUAAAAUCAACUGGAGUUGGUAGCAUCCUCUCUGGAAGUUAAAUAUCGUUCAAAGCUGGGGCGGCACGGGGGUCGGGUUGCGCGUAGCCGAUGGCCUCGGACCGUGCGGGAGUCGGGUAUCGCUGCGGGACGGGCAGCAGCACCGAGGCGGCCGGGGGCAGCGCGACUGCGGCAAGGAGACGGGGGAAGGAAGACGGGCGGAGCGGCAUCGGAGAUAGCAGAAAGAAAAACUCUACUGAGAAGUGUGAAAAGAAAAGGAGGGGGAGGAGCCGCCCACAUGCUGCCAGGAGCCGUCCCGCUGGCAGCUUCUGCUCUCUGCUGUAUCGCUGCCGAACUGGGCGCCAAGGUCAGAAUCAGAAAGUUUCUUCACAUAAACUCGUUAUUUCUAAAUAUGUCUAAGGGGUUAAAGCAGAUCAGAAUCGGCCACAAUAAGGAUUUUGCUUCCUUAUCAAUGCUGGUGAAAUGGCAGAGGGAAAUGCAGACUGAAGGAGCACAACUUUGUCUGUUCAAAGUUCUGAGUGCUCAGCUGCGUUCUUCUGACACUGAAAAAAUAUUCCUCUUUUAAGGCACUUCCCCUGCACAACAGACACAGCUCCUGUGCUACUGCGCUGCUUCCUGUAGCACUUCUGAUGGGUUCCUCCUCAGCUGGAGCUGAUGAUCCCAGCCCAUGAUGAUUCUGGGGAACUCCUCUGGGAGAAGCAAGGGGGGCUCUGGUUCCCAGCUCCGUGGGAUGGAGACAGGACAUAUGCAAAAUCAUUUCACUGUGGCACAAACACAAGAAACAUGAUUUGGAAGAAAGGACAGGGGCCAGAGUGUCUGUCUCUUAUUCUCCCACUCGCAUUGCUGCAAACUGGGUAAGUCAUCUAAUAUCUCUCUGCCUUUUUUCUGCUUCUACACAAGGUUAUUUUUUUCUUAAAAGCUUGAAUUCAGUGAAUGAAAUUCUGAUUUAUUAUUAUUAAUAUAUUCCAAUAAAUGGUUGCAGUGCUUUAGUAUCGCUUUGAAGUCAGUCAAAUAAGUAUUAAAGAAACUGUGAAUGGCAAGAAACCUCAGUUCGGUCCAUCUGAUAUGCCUCUGUUGAAAUGUUACUUGUGGGAUGACCUUCUCAAAACAAGGAACUGAGAAAGCUACGUGUGCUAAAUGGAUCCUGGAGGCUCGAGAAGCUUUUUCUCUCAUCACUCAUCCAUCACGAAUACACUGACAUGAGUCGUGGCCCCAAAUCGCUAAGAGUAACUUCUACAACAUAAAGCAUGUAAAUGUGCUAGUAAAUACGUUAUAACAUCAUCAGACCCAUGGCUACUCAUACAACUUUCUUCUAUCUACUGUCAUUAUUCUCCCCUUCCUCCUACCCUGCCUUACUGUUGUGAAUUAUGGGCAACUGUUGGAAAAGUGACACAGACUCUAAUUAUGUACAUAAUACCAUAAUUGAUUCAAACUACUUUGUUUCCCCAAAAUGCUAUUCUUUAUUAGCUGGCAGGCUGCUUGUUUCUGAUCCUAGCAUUGUCGGUCACAUCAGGAAAGCCAUCUCAGUAAUAAAACAGCUAUUGUGGGGGAAGUAUUAUUGGUUCUGUACAGAGCUCUUUAGCAGUAAUUAUGUACAGCUUUUAGUAAUGUUGAGGCUUACCCAAGCAUCACUGAAACAAACCAUUUGCAAUGACAUGCAACGAUGCCUGUACAGUAUUUUUACAAGCAAACUGAAAUAAGACAUUUUGGUGGUAACAUGUAAAUUAGCCUUGAGGCUUGCAAUGCAAUGCUCAUCAAGUGUGUAACAUUUAAUUACAAGACCAUUGAGCAUGAGUCCUCUGAGAUUUUUCAUCCUGACAACAGAAAGAUUAUCCCACUGAACAGACAAUUUGAUUCCUCUUAUCAGAUGUGGAAUGAAUCCUCCAGUCCCUCAGCAGGCCAAGCAGGCGUUUAAGGAGUGAUGAGUUUCAGAACCCUACCUGGUAAAGUACCUUGUGGAGGUACCAGCCCUUAAGAUACCUUGCUGAAUUCCAUCUGCAAGGAAUUGAGACUUGUAGUCUCCAGGUACAAAGUACCACAGUCAUGUGGAGUCUAAUCUAAUAAAGAGCUCAGUCUGGGUUAUCUUGAUUUCUACCUUUAUAAACAAAGCCAUAUUGCACUUGAGGAGCUACAUCAUGGGCACUGCAGUGUCUUCAUACAUUCAUUCAGAACUGGUUGUUUCCAACAUGCCUCAGAGCAUAGCAGCACAGGAAGCUCCAGCAAUUCUGGGCCGGUGUCAUUUGCAUCCAAAUGUGUACAGAAAUACAGACCAGAUUUUUCCUUGACUCCAGCCUCUAGCACAAACAAUACUAAGUUCUUUGUCUCAGCAUCUACUUCUAGAUGCUUCUAGAAAAGGUAGUGGAUAUUUAGGUUAAGGUUGCAAGGUGGCUACACAAGGGCAUCUGAGGAGGUUGCUUCGAAAGUAAUGCCUCCCGUUUAUUUCCAUGGAAAUUACAACAGACACAGAGAGCACAAUAGCCCUUUUUGGUAGGACUCAGCUACAAAAGACCAUUUUUCAACAUAGUCACCACCAUUAGCUAUGCAUUUUCACCAGUGGUGCUUAACAAUUGCACACAAAGGUUGCACCUCUCUCAAAGGCCGACCACAUGAUAUGAAAUACACAACCUUCCUCCAUUUGUUUCUCUGACUGACUUUUCCCUGUCUGACAAACACCUGCACACUCUUCAGAGCUCUGCUCAGAGCCCGUGGUUAGGGCCCCCCGAUGACCUACACCCUUUCUGGUAGCACAUUUUAUUUUCUGGUUAUCUACACUGUUCUUCAAGUGAAGUCCUCAAUGAAUACACUUGUGGGUGUUUUUCAUGACUAACCCUACUAGCUGACAUUGACAGAAGACAGAAAUCAUCUAUGUGGAAACUUCAGAGUAUCUCAUACAGGUAAGUUUUGUGGCAAACACAGCUUACAAGUGUUGCCUGGUUUGAUGAUGAGUGUUAAAAUUUCAUGGUUUGUUUUUUUAAGUCAUAAAGCUUGGAGUUAUAAAUGGCACAUAUAAAUGUGUGUAAAAUUUGGCAUUUAUCUAUAAACAGUGUAGAAAGAUUCUAUCCUCAUUUUUAGUCUGUAUCCUUGAUGAACUGCAUCAAAAAAAAUCAGAGGGCUGAAGUGGGAAAGAAUAAACCAUAGAAAAGUUUUGCACUUCAUUCUAAGGGCCUCCUCAUUUUUGCGUUUGGAAUACUUGAAGAUGACAUCAGCAUUUUGUCAGGAGGAAGGAAAGUUUACAAGAAUUUGAUUACAAGAACCGAUUGAAAUUAAUUAAACUGAGUUCUGGAUUAUGAGAGUCAUACGAAAUCGUUAGCCAUUUCAAAAAUCCAAAAUUGAUGCUAUUUUCAAGUAUACUUGAGAGGCAAAACAAUAUCCUGUAGGUUUGCUGGAGAUAGGAUUUUCAUUUUCAAUAUCUACCUAGCACAGCAAAUAUAUUUGCUAACUUAUUGUUUGUUUAGAUGCUGAAAAAUGAGAAGCCUGAGGAACUGGCUGCCCUGCUGGAUGUAGCAAGGGAUAUGACCAGAUCUGGGACAGCUAAUGUUAAUGUUCUGACAGCAUCUAGCUUCCCAAUACUCAAAUGUUAGCUUUUUAUGCAAAUAGUCUUCACAACAGCAUGCUCGAUCUUUGCUAUUGCAUGAUUAGUGUUCUCAUGUCUAAUCAAUAAAUCCCUAGAGCCUCUCCAUCUAAUGGCCAUUUUGCUCAGUCUCUCCAGUAGGGAGGUCUGUUUAGCAGCAGGUUUUCAGCAGAACAAAAUGUGGAAUCAAUAGCCUGAGAAUAAUCUGCCAGGUUGUCCUUAUGAAAUAUUUGUAUUUUUUCAUGCAAGUUCUAACAGACCAAAUGACUUUUCCAAUACGGAAGGGUUUAGUGCCUCGUAUGGAAAUACAUCAACUACACGAUCACCAGCACACACAGUAGGAUCUCUCAAGGUCACUGGUGAAUUGACUGGAGAGCUUCAAUACAGCUUUAGAGUCACGUCAUGCAGAUACUGAACACCCACCUAAAUGUUUACAAAUUGCCUCUCAGGGACUACAGCAUGUAGGUGAGCAUGGCCCUGGGAGGAAGCAUGGCUUUCGUCUUCCGUGCUCGCUCCACACCUGUACCUCCCUGCUGCUGCACAUAACAGAAAUCGAAAUCUCUGCUCUCUGUUCUAGGCCUGAUCUGGGGGAGGGAUCCUGAUGCCAGCCUCCUCUCCUGGUUGGUUUAACCAGUACAGUAUAUGACAGCAGGAGCCCUCAGCAAAGAGUCUGGGGUUAGGUUUUUUUUUUAGCUUGGUUUCCUAAGGAAAUGAGGGUCACGUCACUGCUGUCUGUCUGUCUGUCCUUGUUUUUCUCUCAUACUGCCUCAAAGAAACAUUUUAUCGUGUGAGAAAAUUUCAGCCAAAAUACAAAAGCAUUGCAUGUCUCAAAAAAUAAAUGCAUACCUGCAAGAAUUCAUGAGUUGAGUGUGGUGGAGCAGCUCUCACAAAAGACUAUUACUUUUUUCUCUAUAUAGCAAGUCUACAAGCUAUCACAGCAUCAUUCCUGUUACCUACAGAGUAUGAUGGAGCCUGAUCCUGCAUCAUCCCCCAGCUAGCUAUAGGCUACGGGCAUGGGAUGAUCAGACCUCGCCCAACCAUAUCCAGAGCUCUGGUGACGUGGCUAAUUGAUGAAGGCGCAAUUACGUGCUAAGACAUUUGGCUAUGUCAUAGCCAAAAAUCAAAAAGGACCAAAAUAAUGAAAAACUACUCUCUAAAAGUCAAUCAUCUCAUGAUCCUAUAAAUAGUGACUCUAAGCAAGACCUCUUGGAGCUCUCUGGGACCACAGCAGGCUGUGGCUUGGGAGCUCCCCCUGAGCCUUCUCAGGGAAGAUUCCUUGAAGUUUCAGAAUCAUCUGCUGACAGCCAACAUAACUGCAAUGAGUACUGCAAUCUAAUAGGGGGAAAUCCUUAGGUGUGCAACUAACUUAACCCCCAGAUACAGUUGGUUUCGUGUGAACCCUGCCAUCUUGUCAGUGUCAUAUUUAUGAUUACUAUUCUGUUAAACAGGUAUCUUGCAACAAUAAACAUAAUAUUGCUUUUCUCUCACAAGUUAUUUGCAUUGCUCCCUUCAGUGACAGAGAGGAAGGAGACACAAAUCCCCACUGUUACUGAGCAUUCAGCAGCAGCCAAAGGACAAACCAACACUCCACUAUUGCUGCUCAUCAGCACAAGGCUGUUUGGACAAGCCAGUGCAGCAACUGCAUCUUAGCUGGUGAGGGUGCAUUAGGGAUGCCUGGUGGCAUCCAUCAGCAAGAGGCUCCAAGGAGCACAGGGCACAGCUCUUGUAGGCAAGCCUCUGGUUCUGCACUUUGCAGCUGUAGUUACAAUUAUGUCAUCUUCAGGAUGUUCAGCAACACAAUUUCUGUUGUUGAGAUUUUACAAUUGAGCAGUACGAAUUAUAUUAAUUCUUUAAACAUACUGUUUGCCUAAAUCUUGAGUUACAGACUGUAAUAUAAUCUCACCAAUCAAAAACACCCCACCUGCUCUCAGAUAGGGUCUGAGCCUUUUUUUUUCUUUCUUUUUUCUGAAGCAAAGCUCCCACUCAAUAUGAUGAUGUAGUAUGAAACUCGGGCUGUGCUGCUCUGCAUUUGUUUAGUAGCAAUUGAUAGGGUAAUGUAAACAUCUGUAUAUCCUUUGUAAGUAGCAGCACUUGCUGCUAGACAAAAACACUGAGAGAAUAUCCACAAAAAUAAAGAAACCAAACAACUGAUGGUGACAAAGAAAAAAAAAUCACCACUAUGAAACACAAAAUCGAUAGAUUAUGAAAGCUACUCCAAGGCUUCCACUACUAUAAUCUCAAGGUUUUAUUAUCACAUAUCAAAAAAUCAUUACUGCAAUAUCAAAACAUUCAUAAUAACAAAAUAAAAACUCCACUCAUUCUGUUCCUGCAGGGAUCUGAUCUAAAAAUCCACAAGAAAGAAAGCCACAUAACUGUUGUGAAAAUGGCAGUUGGUCACUUCAGUCAUUCAGCCACUCUGGGUCUGUAGCUGUACACCACUCACUGCACUUCAGUGCCACCACUGUUGAUAAUUCCACUGCUCACACAAACAAAUUAUAACUAAAUUAGACAAAACAUGCAGCCUUUUGGAAAAGCUCAUAAGUGCUGCUAUCAGGUGCUCUAUUUGAAGCUUAAUGCCUUUUUAAAUCUAAUAUAACUCAUUCUCUAUCAUUCUGAGAUAACAACUUAUUAUUCAAAAUAAACACUACCUUGCCUCCUUCUGAAGUUCUUAGCAGCUUUAACAUUCACCACAUCUCCUUUCCUCAGAAGCAAGAGGCACUACAAAUAGCAUGGGAAACUUUCCUUAUUGCUACAAGGAAUGAAGCUUUAAUGAAAUCAGCUUUCUGGAACGUCACUUUUGUUCAUUUGACACUAAUUUGGCACCUUUCAUAUAUAAUUAUACAUAGUACUUUCAAAGCUAACAAUUUCUUUUUGAGCCUGCAGAUAAACAUAGCUUGUAGGUCAUGAUGGCAGUAUUUUAGGGGAUCAUUUUCCAUUGGUCUGCAUAACAAGAAAAGGAAAAAAAAAGCUUUCUGGACCAGUUCACCCAGGGUGAUCUGUUUUAUUCCUGUUUGACAUCUGAAACUCUAAGUCUGACCUGAGUUUUGUAACCCCAAUCAACUCUUUGUAGUGCAUCAAUGUAUUUAACAAAUAUUUAUAAAGUCCUCCUUUACUAGGGAACAGAUCAUAAAUAUACACAACUAAUGAAUAAAAGGAAUAAAGCUCACUGCACUUCCAUUAAAACUUGUAAAAAUUAUAUCUUGUUUGGCUGGUUUUCUUCCUGUGAGUGCUGGUAGCUGAUGGCCCUUCUGAAUCCCCAGAAGAUACUCCAAGUUAGCUGACUAGACAAAAACAAGAAGGUUUAAAAUUUGAAAGGAAUACACAGGAACCAGGCUGCUUAGAGUUGGACAAGCUCACACGGCCUUAUGCUGUGAUAUUACAUAUGGGAAAAGACCUGUGAGAAAAGUACCCUAGCUCCUCUCAAAGGACAUCUUUGUAGGUGAGGAACAUCAAACCAAAGGAGCACGUGAAUAGGGUGGAGAUCUGGCUUAUACAUUCUGCCUACAUGGCCUUGGCUUUUCUUCUGCUAUGGGAAGAGUGUCUGAAGCCACCCUCCAGCCUUUCAGCUGAUAACCUACUUCCUGACAAUAACUAGCAAACACUAACAUUGCACUUGGCUCUGCAGUAGACUCCAAACAGCCCACAGGCAUGGUGCAGGGUCAGCCUGCUGCUAGGCUGUUUGUUUAUUUUGGUUGACAUUUUCCUUUGUUGAGUAUCUGUUCCUUGUUAUUCUUAUGUACAGCCCUGCACAUAUCCUAUCUGUUUAACUGUCUUUGGAUAAAAGUGGGUAUUUUCCCAUGUCAAUAAAUGUUCUGGUGUGAAGCUGUGAGCUGGCCUUCGAGAGAACCACCCCCUGCUGCGUAUCUCACUUGUGCAUUGAGUUUUCUUUGUUAAUCAUGUGCAAAAUAAGAAGGCUUUCUGUCUAGCAAAAACCCAUCAUUAAUUUUUCAUAUGAGCACUAAAGUCUUGAGCAGAAUCCUUAAGUGGCUUCAAAGAAAAAGGAAUAAUAAAACCAAAGAGAUACAUCUUCCUUUCCCUUUCUUCAUUAUUUGAUAUUUUAAGAAAACUUCUUAAUGCAGUUCUCUCAGUUUCAUGAUGACACAUUCAUUUUGAAGACUACAUUUGACCUUCAACUUUGUCCUUCAUUAUCAGGACUACACCUAAACACGCCUUCACUUUACUGCAAAUGAGACAGAUGCAAUGUGUGUUCUGUUCAGCCCCAGCAUUAGGAUUAUCCCAAGAGUGGCAUUUAUGUUCUUGUAGUUCUUUGGUAUAAAUAAAUAUCAAAGUAGGAAGACCAAUCUGUACUCCACUAGGAAUAAUAAACUAAAAUAAUAUGGCACUGAUUCUGUUUGGGUUGUCUAAAUGUGUUUUUAUGAUUGUAUAUGUUUAUGGCUUUCUCACACAGCCAUCAUGAAUUCCAGGCAAUUAAAAAGGACAUGAGUUCUGAAGCAUUUUAAAAGGGGCUUUGCUUCCAAAUGGUAUGUAUUAAAAGUAGAAUACAUUUUUUUGACAGGGCUACUGCAAAGUCAACAGUCACAUAUUUCCCUUGUUCCAAAUUUCUUCCCUUUCUUCUCCUGCCUGCAAUAACUAAUUAGAAUAUUCCUCUAAGUUGAGAAGAAAGGGAGGGAAAGACUACUUUUAUGUUUGCACAUAUAUUAGAUGCAUUGCUAGCAUAAGCCUGUGAGCCCCAGAUUUCAAAGCAGCUCAGAGGCAGUAUAUAGCAGGCCUUGUAUUAAGUGUAUCAACCUAUGUAUAUGCUAAACUACCUGCUUUUCCGCACUGAACAAGUUCCAUGUCUCUGUGCACAGCUGAGAGCAUGCCUGUCCUUGCUGUACAAUGCCCAGUUUACCCCCACUUGAACUCACCAGCACAGAUUUUUGAGGCACGGUUGUAGAAAAGUGCCUUAUUUAAUUGGAGUACUUCUGCUCCAAUAUACUGAGAACUGGCAUGAGUUACUGAACAAAGAUCUGAACAGAAAAGUAAGAAAAAUAAGCAGAGAAAAAGCAGUACUUUUGAUCAUAAAGUUACAAACUGAUGACUUGGUUUUGUCAUUUACAUAAAUUCAAACACAGAAUUGAGAGAAAAAAGACUUUAAACAAAUUUUCAACUAUGACCUGAAUCAGGUCCAGUUUCAAAAACCUGUGUUCAAUACCAUUUAGGAAGACAAGAAAAUAAUGAGUUUUAUAGGCAAAUCAAAUAGGUAUUUUAAAGGUAAAAAUAUAUUGUUUCCUGUUCAUGUCAACUGCACAACUUUAUACGUAAGAAAAUGCUAAUAAAUGGAAAAGAGAGAAAGAGAACGACAAAGUUUGUUUUUUCUCUUCCUCCCAGUAAUUUUGGGGAGUUUAAGAUUCCUUAAUUUUAGCAAUCUAUAUCCUGUUCCAUAAAGUCUCCCACAGCAGCCAGUGGAACAACUUAUAAUCUUCCUCUCUUUUCUAAUGUGGAAUCAGGUUAAUGGACUUUCCCCAGGUGAUAUUUUAAGGACUUUGGAAGAGAUGCAAUGGGGCAGGUACUUAUGAACUGUGCUGCUGAGCCUUCCUCCUGUCACCUGCCAGAGCAAGUAAGAGAAGGAGGAAGACUGAGCUGCUGGCAAUCAGACUCCUCUUUCCCUUUCUCUACGCAGCCUAGGGAGAUGUUUGCAUUCCACAAAAAGUUUAGGAGUUAUUUAGGAGUUAUGAUGGAGUGUCCCUAUGCUUUCUGAAUCUUUUUGUCCAUCCUUAGCUUAAACUCUUGCAUGACUCCUUUGCUGUUUCUUUGUCAUAAAACUAUAAAUGAGCAGUUUAAAACUCAGUAGAAUUGCCAUUCAGAUUUGGAGUUGGAUUAGAUGACCUUUAAGGGUCCCUUCCAACUCAAAGGAUUCUAUGAUUCUAUGAUUUAAAAGAGAUGUACUCACUGGAGAAGUGAAAUCCUGUACAGGAUAGAGUCAUGUCAGUCCAUACUGGCACCCAAGUACUGAAAGAUGAGUUUUCAAUAGGUAAAAAGCAGCAACCAUCAACACUGAUGCUAUGUGAUGAUGAGCAGGGUCAGACUAACCUCUUGGACAGAGUGCACUUGAAUCAUUGAAGAGAAUGCCCCAGCAGCUAAUUAACUGCAUGGCAAAGAAAGAGCUUCUAUUUCGUUUCUCUUCAGGCUAGUAAAGUAUGAAUAAGCAGUAGGAGAGGGUACACGCAAAUGGCACAGGCAAAGAUCUAACUCAGAGAAAAUAGACCUUUCACAGUCCACAAAUACCAGUACUUUAUGGGAAAAUCACUGGGGAUUUCUGCCACUUUGGUCAUAAUACACUGCCUUUUCUGUACUGUUUACUGUAGCUUUGAACAUUCACCUAUUACAUAAAUAGAUUAAUCACUGUGUAGUCAUAAAGAGAACUAUUAUCCCAUCAUUCUUAAGUGCAGAAUGCCAGCUGUGUUAAUAGAAAUGUAUCAUCAUGUCAUUAUUAAAUAUUCAUAUUGUUGUAUCACCAAGAGACCAAUCCUGUCAGGUUUCCUCUGUUAAAUUAUUAAUAAACAAUAGUCCCUGACAAGCUGACAUGUGUCUGUGAAAGAGUCAGAACUGACACAAGCUUCCUGUGUUUCCAGAGGAAGUGUGUAAAUCCUACUCAGGACCCAUGCUCAAUUAUGAGAUCCUUGCAGAAGAUGAAACAGGUGCUCCUGAAACAACCUUUGGCAGGAACAGGGCAGAGAGGAAGAACCAGAUGAGCCAGAAGUGGCUCCAAAGGCAAGUGGUAGUAAUCCUGUCCUGCUAAGGAAGUCAGGAGGCAAGAAAAGAAAACAAAUAGAAUAAGCAGCUCGUUACAAUUAAAUUACAGCCCAGUUUUCACAGGUUUACCCAAGCCAAGUUCUGAGCCUAGAAAAAUUAUGCCUAAGUAAUGAAGACUCCCCUGGCUAUUCAGAGCCAGCAUCUAGCAGCAGACUCCAGAGCUGCCCCAGGUAAGACUGCUGCAGGAGCAGAGCUCUCCUCCUUACCAUGUGGAAUGUCUCUUGCUUGUCUAUUACAACAGGAAAUGUUUUGAAAUCUGAACAAUGCAGGAGAUCUGAGGGCAGACAGCACACAUAAUGAAAAGAAAAAAGAACUAUUACUUGGAAAUGAUUGUUGCUUUGUCACUUUUCCUUAAUUUCCUCAGUAACUGGUAGAAACCGUUCCUUAGAAAAUAUUUAGGAAAUAACAUCCAUAACGCUAUUGCCCUGCCUCAGUCUUGGCCAUUGUUUCUGUGCUUUUACUUUUGAUGACAGGUGAUUUUCAAUUGUAGUCAUUUUUAUGAAUACUCAGUGUAUAAAUUAUGCAAAUAUAGUCUCUAAUUUCAGGAUACAUUUCAAAGAUUCUCCUCACCUUGAGAUGUAUAACAAGUUCAUAACGUUUUAUUUAAUGCUUCAGAUGCUUUAUGAUCAAAAAUUUUGUUUUAGAAGAUGCCCAUAAAAUCCCUAUAUUCCUUUAUGAAAGCAGAAUUCUGAGAAAUUGAAUAGCAAGGUUUGCACAGUUUGAUCUCCAGUUAAUUUGUUAAACUUAGGUAAAUAAUACAUGUUCACACUGUAACAUAUAAUUUGAAAGAAAACCUAUUUUUGUAAUUCAAAAUUGAGUAUGGCCCAUGGCUAGAACAAGCUGACCAGGAGGCAGGCUUUAGCAGAUGCAAAGCUUAUUUGAUGCUGUUGGAGCUAUUCAACUGUAACAAAGACUAUCUGUAUCCAAAGGGAGUGCUACGGAUUUGAUGGAACCAAAGGAACAAGACCUCCCUUGGUUCAAGAAUGGGAAAUAAUUUCCUGCAUUGCCAUUUUCAUUUUUGAACCUUCCUUUGCUGUUCAUUAACAAAUUCAAUGACGUUCUCGGUACAGUGAAGAAAACUUCUCAUUUCACAAAAAGCUUUUGGAUUUCAAAUAAACUUCUUGUCAAGUGUUGGCAAGAAAGAGAUUUCUCAAAAUGAUAAACUCUCCCUGCUACACCAAAAUACUUUCCCCAGUGCAUAGUCAAUGGAUACUUAACUUAUGUAAAAUGAACCAACUUGAUCAGGAGCAAUUCAGCAAGGCUUUGGAGCAGUCUGUUAACUGACAGCUAGCUGGCACAGUAAGGAUGAGAAAGGAAAAGCAUAUAUUUUGUGUGUUGAUAAAAUCAGGCAGAAACACCUGAACACCACUUUUUUGCACUUCUUGCACGAGCUCUCUGACUACUGAGCUGCUGGCCACAAUGGCUCAGGCAAAGGCCUCAGUUUCAUCUGUGUAAGAAUCAGUGUUUUACCACCAACAAAAUGGCUUUGGCCUUGAAAUUCAGUGCCUUACAAUGCCCCCCCCCACCACCCCCCCGCAUUUAGCACAAAAUUACCUGAUAACCUGACUUGUGUUUUUUGAAAUUAAUCUUUAAAAUGUUGAGAUGGCACCAAAAAAGGGAAAUGGAGAAAUUUGAAAUUGUCUUGAAAAUCGUGUGUCUUCCCGAUUUUACUUGCAUACAAUUAAUGAGCUGAAGGUCAGCUGCAGUCUUGCAGUUAUUCGGUCUGGAUUGCUGUGUGUCACAAGCCUUUUCAGAAGAACCUGACAAAUCUCUCUCGUUAAUAACAAAUGACAAUCUCUUCGGUGCUACAAUGCAUGUUACAUUUAAUCAAUUUGCUAUUUGUAUUCACUGUGUACAUCUACUGUUUUGGGUCAUGAAAAAUUGAAAAGUAAUUACAACAUGGAAGACCAUCAUGGAUAACGAAUGAGAUAAGACUAGAAAAUGUUCUAUUAAUUGGUCAGUUGUGCUUGUCAGUACAUUGAAAGUAGUUAAGACGGGGAAUGAGAUAAGACAAUUCUAUGCCUCUGAGGUGAAACAGAGCUUAAGGAUAACCACUGCUAUGAUACUUUUGUUAUGAUAAAAAUUCAAUCAUCUAAGCACUGUGGUGAUACAAGGAGCUUUAGAAAGCUGUUUAACUACAGCUAUUACUUGAAGAAAUCAAAGUAACUUCCCUGAUUGAAUUGUACUAUAGUAAUGCCUGGUAGUGCAGCCACACUAUAAAUAAAGUCUGUCAGCAUCUCCAUCAAUGCCCCCACUGCCAAGGGCUGCUAACUCAUCUCUUUUACAUUUCAACAGCCUCAAAGAGGGCAAACAAAUUAAUGACUCAGAUGUCUAUUUCUGUACUAAAAAGGGAUGAAACAAGUUAAACUGGUUUCAAUCAAUAGAAUAUCAAAGCGCUGACAAAUUUUUAGGAUUUCAGUUGCAUUUUCUUAUAAUUCAGAGGUAAAUGUAAGUAUUAACUUCAAAAAUGGAAGUAGACAAAACUCUUGUCUCUCCAAGAGAGACUUGCAUUUGUUGGACCAAACACUACCUGCAUUUGAUGAACAGAUGCCAAGUACUUCUAACCUAUUAGUUUAUAAGCCUUUGAUCAAACCUAUGAGUCUACGUUUCCUACAGACAUGCAAAGCAGAAUUUCCAUGUUACAGUAUUGUAGCUUUCUUAAGCUGUGUAAGAACAAGGGCUACAAGGGCUGUAUCAGUAGCAGAGGCAGUACUACCAUCUUUACCCUCUUUGUUUUUUUCCCCAUAUUAGCAACAUGUUUAUAUGCAAUAACAGGCACUCUGCCCACUAACCCAGACCAGCCAAUACUGGGCUGAUCACAGCCACUAUUUUGUGUCUGUACAGUUGAGCUUCCUAAAAAUAAAUGUCAAAAUAUACAUCUGGAAUUAAAAUAAACGUGCAAGUUCUUAACUACUUCCUAUGCUUCAGAAUUAGAAUUUGCCUGUAUAAUUAUGCUUCAGAAGAGGCCAGUGGUCAGAGGUUCCUGCUAUGCAGAGUCACAACUGUAGACUUCAGACUGUUUCUGCUGAAAAGGGUAGCUUUAAGGUUGAAUCAGAACAGAAAGCAGAGUAAAGAAGUAAGAAUAGAAAAAGCCAUAGCUGACAAUCACAUUAUUGAGAAAGAGAACCACGGUGACAAGGGAGGGCAAAAGUGCUGAAGAAGGUGAUGACUGCAUUGCUCUGACAUCUGGAAAGUAGAGUUUGGUCAUAAAAACUUCUCAGCAUUAGCAAUUAGAGUAGCUUUUCUUUGACAUUGCCCCUGAAGUUUAGAAGGAAUAUCAUUGAUUUCAUAAUGAAAGCUAUUCAUUUUGCAAAGGUUUGUUGUAAAGUGUCAUGAGGAAAGGCAUCCUCAAGGCAUUAAGAAAUCUAGUGAAAAAGCUGCAGAAAGGUGUAAAGAAUUCUAAAUCACUGCAUUGUCUAUAUAUUAAUGUAAAUAGGUGCUAAAUGCCUUGGCUGAUUAAUGCUCCCUUCCUCAUAAGGAAGGAGAAUUACUAAAACAAUAUUAAAAGAAAUACAGGAGUGAAUAAAACCAGUGCUAGCAGCAUAAUGAUUACAUAGGAAACAAGAUGCAGUAAAGCUAAUGUCCUUUCUCAGAUAGGAUUUGGUCUAGAAAUUGGCAGCUAAAGCUAUUCAAGUAGGCAAGACAAAGCUUUCAUUACCUUCACAUAAAACAUUUUUUAUCACUCAAGUAAGUAUCUUGCCAGCUGUGUGUGUGUGUGACACUAUGUAGUCUAUUACCAUCAGCAAUGAGGUGUGAAAAUUCUUCACGAAACCAUUCUAGAAAAAAGCUUCAGGUUAUCAGGGCACUUCUUAAGGAGCUUGUUCAAAAGCAUUAGAACUGUUUAAUUUUCACCAUCCUGUAGGCAACAAAAAUGUUGGGGUUUUGUGAAAUGGUAGAAGUAUGAGGUUUUUGAAGAAGACACUGCAUGUGCACGUCUACUCUAACACUCUCUUUGAAGAAGAGCAAGGAUACAGGCUCCAGACAGUUCAUUGGUGUAAACAAACCAGUAAAGGCAAAGCUAAAAAAAAAAAGAGAUACGUGGAAUAGGAUUUUCUAGACAGGUGUGAACUUCUAGGACAUGUCCCCAUCAGCCUCAGUGUGAUAAAACACGCUGGUUCCCAGUACUUUGUAGUGUUUGCUUGGCCACAAAGAUUUUGAUUCCUGCUGUGCAUGUCAGCACAGUGCUGCACCUGUGCUGGUGGCUCUCUGCAGGCACAGCACUCUCCCUGUGUUGCAGGGUUGGGGUUGAAGUAGGGGUAUUUUAUCUACUAAUGCAUAACAUAUUUAUAUUAUUACAAGUAUUAGGAGAUACAAUUAUGCAACCUACAACUGUGCUUUGCUAGAUUUAUUAAUGUAUUGUAGAUCUUGUGGUUACUUGGAGAGAAAUGUUUGCAUCAAGCAAUCUGAGUAGUGGUAUGUACUCAACUUUUAUUGACUCACAGAUGGUUGGAAGUAAUUAUAUGAUUUCUCAAUAAGCAUCAGAAUUUGGCCAUAAAGUUCAAUUAUUUUGACAUGAGAGAUCAAUAACAGGAAUCUGAAGCAAUUAAAGACACAUAAUUCAGAAGCUGCUCGGCUAAAAACAGUCAUGUGGUGAAUCUGUUCCUGACUUCAGCUACAAUGUGAAUGUAAGUUCAGUCAGUGGUGCUGUUCUUCAUACCAAAGCAGAUAUAGUCAAUGGUUUAGGCUGUUAACAUAAGAUCUUAUUAUUAUGCACUUCUCAAGCACAUCCCACAUCAUGGGCUGCAUCCUAUACUGCACACAUUCUUUACCUCUGUAACUUUGAAUGUAAUAUUAAAAUCUGCCAUCAUUCAUAUCUGUGAAAAGCACAGAGAUAAGAGUACACAUUCACUAUUUUGUUUUAAACCAGCAUCAAAACACAAUCUCUUGCAUUAAAUAUUGAUCAAACUUUGGGCUUAACGAGUUUCUUCACUGAACAAACCAAAUGCUAUACUGGGAUGCCCGCUGCCAGGGCACAUCCCGAGUCUUACUACCACUUUUACCCUCUUCAAUUUUUUUUUUUUUGCCUUUGCUUAAAUUAGCAAGGUAUUUGUGCACAUCAGGCUCUCUGUCCACUGACCCAGACGGCCAAAAUGUCUCUUCUGCAAUCAUCAAUCCAUAGGUGAGCCACUGAUGGCCUCUCUCCAUUCCUCACCAGCCCAUACCACUUUAUAACCACUGCUGGCAUGGAACACUCUGACAAAGUGUUGCAUCUGCCUUUGGCUCCCUUUGGCAGCAGGUUCUGCAAGUUACAACUGAGUGGUACUAAGACAUUACCCCAUGCUUCCCAGCUCCACACCAAGAUGCCUCCUGCCCAAAGCAAUGCUGGUAAUACCUAAAGACCUUAAUAAUGCAAAAGUACGGUAUCCCUUUAAGUGCUUAUUUCAUUCCCAGUGUCUUCUCCCAGUUCCUUUGCUGUAAUAAGCAGACAGCUGGCACCAAACACCAGUGUUUUUUUCCUGGGUAUGCUAAUGAUCUAACAUAAAAGAUAAUGUUAGUCACAGUUAGGUACAGAUGUGACUUCGGCACUUUCCCUCCUUUUCCAUUUCCUUCUGCUGCCUUUGAAGGAAGACUGCAGCCAGUAAAAAUUAGCAGUGAAGUAUUGCUGCUCUCUAUUUUGUUUCACUUACAAAUGCUACUGCAUCUGGACAGAUGUUGACUGCCAUUUCAUCUGAAUGGGCCUAAACAAGUAGAACGGUUAGGAAUUUGAGGCAUUUCCACUUUUUCAUUGGAGUUAUUACAUUCCAAGUAUGUGGAGGACAGUUCUACAGCACAACAAUUUACCCUACAAUACAAAAAAAUAGUAAAAUUGCAUGUAAUGUGUGCUCCAGUAUAGGAUACUAAGGGUCUCAGUCAAGGCUGUCCUGUAAUCUAUAUCAAACAAUAUGUCUAAAAGUUUGACUGAGCAAAUAGUAAAGCUAUGUUAAUAAUGCAUUGUUUUGUUUUGUUUUUUCAAAAGACUUAUUUGAUUCAAAAAUAAUAAAAAACACAACUAACAAAAAAAGAACAAACAAACAAACAAAAAAGCAACACAAAUCAACAACAAAAACACCAAAGCCCCAAACCUAAGAAGGGUCUCCAUCAGUAGGUUCAGUAGUUUGGAUGGUUUUAGUCAUAGAGAUGAGCAUAUACUGAGUCCUAGUGCAGCCAGUUAAGAACAAUUUGGUCUCCCUCUAGAGAUGGCCGGUAAACACAGCCAAUGCAUGCAAAAAGACAACAUUUCCCUUUUUCUUUACUUUCUAUCCUAAUUUAGCUGUCAAAAAUUCAUUAUUUUAAAUAUUUCAACCAACCAUAGAAUGGGUUGGAAACAGGAAAAAAUGAAUUGCAGAUUUUGAUUAUAUUUUCACUCCACCAGUAGUCAAGACUUUCACAUUGUAUCUUCAAAUGCAUAAUUUUCGACCAGCUUUGCUCACCAGAAGAACGUGGAAAGCAGGACAGACUCAUGCCACUGACAAGUUUUAAAGAGCAUCCUUCAAGUUCCUAGAAAUCAGAGCUCUUUGAAAAAAACAACCAUAAAGAUUUAGUGUAGACAAACACUUGAGAAGCACAGACCAUAAGACAAAUUGCAUCACAUUUCUUUAAAGCAUAACAUCUGAUAAUGUUUUAUAUCUUAAGAUCUAUGAACGAACUUGCUGAUUAUACACAGCUACCGCCAUUUGUUUCUUUGUAGCACUUCUGUAAGCGAGCGUGCUUGGAAUCUCCAGGUCUAUUAAAGGUAAAAUCUCAAGCUGCCAGCAAGUUCUUCAGAGGAAUCUCCUGGCCUUGGCAUUAUCUGUGGGCUUUGUCCAGGGACACAGCAUUUAUUUCUUAAAACUGGAGCAACCAGCAUAGUGCAGCAGCCAAGCCAGGUCACGCUGCCCAGAUUCUUCCCCGGCUGUUCUGCUGACCAGUUCUGUGCCAAGCUCAUCUGCUACCCACACAAGCCUUUCCAAAAACAAGUUCCCUUCUGGCUCUUCUCCAAAGAACCACUGACUCCUGGGCUUCCCCUGACCACUGGUAUACAAACAAGGUAGCAAGAACAAGAUUCACCCUACCUAUCUUAAAGUGAGCAAUAACAACUGCGUACAACUAGUAUGCAAGUUUAGCAGUAGCCUGUGUUACCUGCCGUGGUUUUUGCUUUUUAUUAUUAUUCACGUCCCUUACUGUUUUCCCUUCCCUUAUUGUUUUUGGUUAAUUUGUAAAAUUCAAGGUGAUGUUAUUUUAUUUUUUACCUUCUCUGGUUCUGUGGAAGAAGUCUGUGCCAUUCUGGUUGUGUGAGCACUGACAAGUACAUCCCUGAGAGACAACUACUUAAUUAGUCACAGGGAGGCUUAAGUCUCAAUCCUAAAUAAGGAGAUAACAUCAUGGUGGCAAAACCUGUCACCUUUGCCCAAGCAGCCUGGAGGGAGAAAGACCGUUACUGCACAGUCCAAUCUACUUACAUGAUAGAAAAGGAUACUGGGAUGGAAAAUGUAAUAAUUUAAAAACAUUCAAAGAGAAAUAGUCUACAUUUGCACGGGCUACACUCUCUUCCCAGUGCAACAAAUGAACCAGAGUAUCAGCAACUAAGUGAUGGGCAGUUAUUUAAUGAGUUAAUCUCAUUAGGAUAUUUGAACUCUCAGAAGAGGCUCAAACCAUUAGCUACACGAGAGCUUUGAAAUAAGCCUUUCAAAAGGACUAUAAGAAUAUAUUAAAAAGUGGUUAAUACACUGUGAACUUUACCAGGAUUCCCCUUGGAUCAGGCUGUCUGGCAGGAGGUUUUUACUGGGGAGCUUCUCCACAAGUCCUGCAGACACAGUCACUAAUAGGCUCAAGUUUACCCUAGAGCCCAUCAAGUAACAUCACCAACAAUUUGGAUUCCAGCAGUUUCUAAGGUUGGCCUCAAUAUGUUACACAAUUGCACCUUGCUUCCCAAUUUUUAAAUCCUUUAGCUUUAAAUCUGGAUAGUUAAAACUGGACUAGUCAUCACAUUACAUAUCUGACUAAAAGACCUGUGAUAAUACUUUUAAAUACAAGUUAUUUAGCCUCACAUUCUCUACAGUGGCUGUAUUAUUCCCUCUAACCUUUUCCUUUCUUUACCUUGAAUUUGGGCACAAUCUAUGUUUAUGUUAGUGUAUAAUUAACUAAGUUAAAAACAGCAGAGUCCCAUUUCAAACAACAUUACAUUGUCACACCAUGUCAAACAAUUGCACCUCUUGAAUUUAGACUGUAUAACUAUUUUCUGCUCUCUGUUUACUUUUAUUAGCUCCAGUGGAAUUAUUCAUAUCAAUAAAGUGAACAGCAUUUGACCCUCUAAAAGUAAAUGAAAGACAUUAAUAGAAGAACCCAGAGAAUAUCUUCCAGCAAUAAUUAAAACUCGGGGCAGAAUAAUUUUUUCAGUCAUCAUAAAUCAUAAUGAAAAGUGGAUACCUAAUGUCUGAUUGUUCAGAUCUGCUCCAUGAAAGCAGUCGGGAAAUGUCCAGCUCUUUUAAUUGCUAAUAAUUACUUCGUAGUUUAAGAAGCAGUGAUAUAAAAGAUCCUUAUUGUUUAGAGUAUUACAAAAUUUAACUGUAACUAAUGCAUUUUCAAGAGUUUGGGGAACAUUAUUAAAGUUCAUUUCCAUGCUGCAGCUGCAGGAGUUAGAAUUAUGAAAGUGAAGAAGCUGUAAAAUUGAAAAGGUCAGCAAUGACAUUCAUCUAUUCCAGCUGUCAAAUCAAGGGAAUGUUAACAAAACUAGUCUCUGGUAGAAAAGCUAAUUGUCUACAUGUAUUUUGGCUGCUCCUAUACAUGUACUCUACUGUGGCUAAUCUAUAGAAAGACCAUGCUGGAACAGCUCAUCUUUUUUUGAUCAGGCCUUCUGCAAACAAAGGAGCCUCAUUGCCCCAAAUAAGCAAGUUCUAAUGAUUGUAUAACUCCAACCAGCCUAAAAAGCAGCCGUAUGUUCCAAGUCAGUGUUUAAAGAAAAAAGCAUGUGAAUGAAGUUUAUAGACUCCUGGCAGCAGAGUUCAACUUCCAGAGUGGUGGGAGUACAGGGCAAAUUUAGUAUUUUACUCUAAUGUUGUGUUCUUAAAAAUAGUAUUUCUAAAACGUCUCCUGCCAAGGCAUGUUUUAUUAUAACAAAAUAUAGAAAAGUCUCUAUUGCAGACCAAAUCUUUUGUAGAUGACCUGGAUUUAGUAAUCCCUCAGUGUGAAGGACCUUCUCUUCAACAUUCUAUUCCCCGCAGGGUGAGACUGCAAACCUAACACAGCUAAACACAGACCAUCAGUGAAGACUGAGUCUAGGAACUUUGCUAUUGAAUGACAGACCCCUGCCUUGUGCAGGAGGAGCUCUCAGCAAGGAACAGUGAGAGAUUUAUGUUUUUUAUUAUGCACCAAAUUCCACCUUCUUCAGACCAUGACACUCCUCAGCAAUUGAGAGCAAAGAAAAGUGACUCCAGACCUGUAGCACGCCACACAUUCAAGGGAAUCAAGUGCUUAAUCUUCUCUAGACAAAUUCAUUGCAAGCCCCUCUGGCUAUUUGCUAUUGUUUAUUUUUGUAUUUUCACCUUAUGUGUUUGUAGAUGUUCUCAGAGGUCUACACACACAACUCUACCAACCACAAGUAGCUGACUGUCAGUGUGAAAGCCGUAUUCCUAUAUUGCACCAUAUACAUCAACUCACGCCUCAAUUUAUCUGGUGUUAUGCAAUACAGAUGUGACAGAAACAAUCCAAUUUGACCUAUGUCAACAUAUUAUUAGGUCAGUAUGUAGCUUUCUGGAUAACUUUUUAAAAAUCUGUUAUCUGACCUUUGUGGUUUUUUUUUUUUUUCCUAUAGAGAAGUAUUGCAAAAGCCAGAAACAAUACCGACAAUUCAUGAAAUAUUCAAGUGUACAGUUGCAAUCUUUUAAUAAAUGGAAGUGACCUUCAAAAGAGACAUCCCAAAGAUUAAGAGAAUUUCUCCAUAGAUGGCAUUUGUCACUAAUCAAUGACCGAAAGAACUUACACUCUUCAUAGAAGUGAAUACAAAAAAGAUCUUUCAGAAUUCUAUCACUUUACAAGUAAAUUUUUCACAAAGCCCACAGAAAAGAGCAUUAACAAGCUAACAAAACAACAGAACAAAACAUCAAACAGGCAAAUUGAAAGGAUACAUCCCCCUACACCUAUUGGUAACUACGUCCACAUUUAGAGAGCUAGAGUCAUUUGCACAUCCACACACUAUUCUCUGAGGCUAGAUGAUACUAUCAGAAUUAACUGCAUUUCUUCAACUGCAUUGAUAUGUCAAAAUACAUGCAACAUUCUACUAGCCAAUUUUCUUUUUCAUAUUCACAAAGAUAUUGGGCUCUAACUGGGUCACGGUAUUGGAACAGAUGUAAUCUCAGCAGAAUACUAUGAGAAAUCUGGGCUACAUUAAUGACUGAUCCAAUUACAGUGGAAAUCUCUAGAAAACCCAGAUUUACUAAGAACCAGGAGAUAAUUAUGAUGUACUUCUAGGGACGACCAGAUGGACCAGACAGUCUCAAACUCUAUAAGGAGACCAGAGCUGAAUGAGAGGCACCCGUGCUGUUGCCUACAUAGUUGGAGAUAUUCCCAUUCUGAGAAUAUGAUCAAAACAGACAGAUUCUUUCAGCAAACACCUGUGAGGACUGGAUCAAAACACAUCCUAUACUGGGAAGCAGCAUGGCUUAUGUCCUGCUGUGAUGAUGGGGUGACAGAGGAAUAGGUAUCCAGGAGAGAAUGAAAGAGCAGGAAUCAAGAAACCUCAGGCAGCAAGUUAUGUUCUCUCUCCUGAAUAGGCUAUAGAUGCCACCUUCCAAGGAGCAAUCUGAUACCACACCUAAGAAAACCCAACAAUCUACUGUGGAUUUACACCCAGAAGGAAAGAAAAAUACUUGAGAAAUCUGAGUAUAAACACCUCCUUUCACCAAUCCAAAGGCAGGCAAAAUUUCAUAGUAACCUUAUCUGUGAUCUUGAUAACAUCUUUCAGAGAGGUGUGCCUCUCUUACCUCUGAGUAGUCCCAUUAAGGUAAUUUGGAUCUAAGAGGAUGUAUGAUGUUAAACAUUUAGUUAAUUAUAAAUGUUGCUGAAUCAAGAUUUUUUUUCAGAUAAAUAUUUUACCAGAGAAGAUAUAUUAAACAGUGGAAAGUAAUAUUUCUUAUUUAUAGAACCUGCUGCCAGCUCCAAGCUAGUAAAUAUUUACAUUUCAGGCACUUUGAUGGCUAAUGUGACCUUUCUGUUGCACACUUUACACCUGUGCUGUAUUUUACUUUCAGUGUUAACAUCCUUUCUAGUCCAUCUUCCAUUAACAAGCAGUAUUUAAAUAUAUGCAAAUUUCAUAUUUUAGCUGAUGUUUUAGGAACAUUUUUAAGGUCACUCUGUUUGAUCUAUCAUACAGACACAGCAAAUUUAUGCACCAUAUAUCCUAUCUCUACUUGUUUUUACCUACAUCUGUCUUCUCUGAUUGCAUUUGAAUGGGCUUAUUUUCUACUUUAAAUAAAAGAUUUAUGCCUUAGCUGUCAGUUUGCCUUUAUUUGAAAAUUUAAUUUUGUUUCUAGGAGUCUAGAUUAACUUAUUAGAUUUAACUGUCCCUUGUGCUUUGCAGCGAUAGCAGAAGUAUAUUUUCCCUUGCGGAGAGAAUACAUAAACAAAAUGCUCUUAGCUUAAGAAUAAAGAAUGUUAUUACUUAGACCAAUACAACACAGUUGGUCCAGGAAACAAAAACUGAUGUUGUGAUAUUUUUUUAAUUUAUGAUGGCCAGCAGUGAGAACUGACUCAUAAAUAUGAGCUCUCACAAAUCCUGGAGCCACCAGAACUUGGAAAAUGCUUUGCGAAAAAGGUACAUUCCCCCAAAAUGUCCCCAACGCUUGGGAUAUAGAAUACCCUUUCAUGAAGCAGUACCACUGGGAAACACAACUUCAUUCUUGAUACUCAUGGAUUUAUUUAAGUGAGCAACAAAUGAGAAUCUGCCCCACUGCUUCCAGUUAGUCAGAAGCCUAUUUGUUGAUUCAGUGUGCUAUUCCACAUCUUCAGUGAGACGUGUUCUUUACUGUCUCUCAGUAGAGCUACAUUCAUAAUACUGUUCAUCAAGCCCUGGAAUUUCAGGGCUUGCCUGAAAGGAGAACAGGCUCACUGCAGUUGCUGCAUGUGGUCCUUGCAAAGCCCAAAACGGCUGUGUUCUCUGGUGGGUGGGCUGGGGUGUCUGAGGGAGGUUAAUCUUUUCAACUACGUUCAUCCAUUUUGACCUUCUUCUCUAUUUUUCAUUUCUAGAAGUACCUGGGAUUCUCAGCAACUCUGUGAUUUUUCUCUUUAUUUUGCAACAUCCACAUAGACCUGAACAGAAUCUGUUUUUAAUCAAUCCCUACACUUUUUAUAAACUCUAAAAACCCACAGCUCUUGAUUCUGUACUCUCAAUUAUAUGCACUGCUUUUGAAAGGAAUUGAAGUGUUCCCUCAUCAAUAAUGUUCCUAGAAGCGCCAGGAGAUUGCAGUAUAAGAAUAUCAGGGCAGAGAAAGUAGAAAAUUGAAGGAUCAGUAUUUACUUAUCUACUCUAGCAAGCAGUCAGUCACACAGCUGUUAACUGUAUCCUGACUCACUUUGUUAAAUAGUGAACACCAUGAGCACAAGACUUUUGUGGAGAAGCAGGGAUUCAUCAUACAAAGAAAACAAAUACACAUUUAUGGUGGCUUUCAUCACUCACAAAAUAUCAGCAGAGAUAAAUGGCACAUAGGAACAUGAGGCCCUCUAUUCUGCCAGCCAGAGCAAUACAGCUGUUAUAUAAGAUGAUAAGCAGUGAUGAAGAAUAACAUGACCAGCAGUAAAAUAAUAAUAAUAAUAAUAAUAAUAAUAAUAAUAAUAAUAACAACAACAACAAAGGCAUUAAGGCAGGCAGAACAGGACAGAACUUAUCUGACUUGAUAGCCUUCAGUCUGUGACACUGUAUAUAUAAAGUGCCAACAGAUUCAAGAAAGGACAGUAAUUAGUAAGUCCUGGCAUCUUCCUAAUAAAAAAAUCAGUGAAAAUACCACAAAGCACAAUCUCUGCAUGUACAGUACUAUUAAUACAAAGUGGAGUCUUCACAGAGUUCUUCAAAAAUCUCUUCAGCUCAGAAAUGCUCUUUCAGGAAUGAUCAUAAAUAUGGCCUACCUACCAUCAUACCCAGGUAAAGAACGCAGAUGAAGCUGGUGUGGUUUGAACAUGCUGGUGGAGGCACUGGGCAGGUAACCAUCUGGCAGGGAAGGCUUAUGCUCAUCUGCUCUCUUGGUAGUGAGUUUCCUUGCUGCUGAAGGGCAGAAGUAAAUCUAUUCCAGUCAUUCCCUUCUGUUGUGAUAGCAAAAAACUUAUCAAGGAUGUGUUAUGCUAAAUCCUAUGACAACAAGCAUUUCAAAGCAUCAGACAAGACAGAUAAUAAAAGGGUAAAACCUGCAAGGAAAUAAACCAUGCACUACACAUGUAAAGAUUUCUUUAUCAUGCUUAGGUAGAAUAAUCUAUUAUUGUGACCAUUACUUAGUUACAGAAUGUACCACCAAAUAACAAACUGAUCGUACAAACCACUGCAACAACACAGCUGAUUUUUUUCCAGCUUCUCCAAAGACAGUAGUCUGGUUUUGAUUUAACAAGUAAUUAAUGAAUACAUAAACCCUGGACAGAACUUUAAUCUAUCCCAGCGCCAAAUAAUUAAUCAUUCAUUCCACGUUUAAUCCUGUUCUGAUAAAUGUAAUUAAUAUUUCAUCAUGGCACUGCAGAGUAGAAGAGUACUUGGGAGCAGAGAAAGGCACCCUUCUAUCUCUCCCCUCAUUGCAGCUCUGGAGUGAAAGGCACUGUCUACAGCUGACAGCUGUUCUGACAGAAGACCUUCUGAUGUCCCCCACACCACAGCCUGAGAAGCAGCCUGGCAGCCAGGCUAUAGGGAUCCCUCGUUUAUCAGUUAUUUGAUUCAUUCCAUUCAGGCUGAUACAUCUUCCUGGCUUCGUUGCUGUUUGAUUUAACUUCUGUUUCUAGCAUCUGUAGUGGAUUCUUUUAUGUACAACCACCUAAAACCAUGUCUUGUACACAGGUAGCAAAAGCAGUGAUUUGAUAGCGUGGUGUGCAUUUUGGCAAUGUACUUUAUCAAAGAUGUAUUUUGCCUGCAGCAAAACGAGCUGUCAGCUGUUACAAUGAACUGUCACAUAUUCACAUUUUAAUAUGAAAAAUAAUUAUUCCUCCGUUUCUAUUAAACAGCUACCUAUUCUUCAGGCUGGAAAUCAGAACUGCUUUCACAGAGUAUCCAGCUCGCUACUGAAAAGAUUAAAUGGGUCGAGUGUAACACUGUAAAUAUGAUCAAGGCAAAAAGCCAGUCAAUAAAACUGACGGUUUUAUCCUAAUAAAGCAGGGAGGCCUCUGCCAUUUCUCUGUGGCAGAUAGUUAAUUGUCCAGCUGUACGCAACAACUUCAGGACAUCUGGCCACUUAACCAAAGAGUACAAGGUUUGGAAUGCCAAAGGACCCAUAAGUGAAAUAAUGAGUGGUCUGACUCAUUUAUAGUGAAGUCCCUGCACACGGCUCUGACAUCAGUGGUCAAAGCUAAAUUAACGUGACUGCAAGUACUGCUCUUACUUCAUCCCCAACACCUGCCUUAAGAUACAGCUGGGUGCACCAAGAGCAGCAGUGGUCCCAGCUGGGACACAGACACAACAGUCUCAGCCGAGAUAGGGUGGCUGCCUACUGCUCUGCUCUGCAACAAGGUUGUGGCUUACCUGUAUCCUAAUUUAGGAUGAAGAAUGAGUUUGAAAAGUAUGACAAACAUACAGUGCAGUCAACACUUGGUACUGCCUCUGCGUAAAAUUAUGAUUCUUUGCUUCAGUCACCCUAAAAGCAGCUUCAGCCCAGGCUGAAACAUAGUGGAGUUAUACAACUAACCCAGCCAUCUCCUCCCCCUGCAAGCCCUUCCGUGAGACCACAGGUAGUACUGCACACACAGAGAUCACCUUGCUUUAUCAUACACAUGAAACUAACUUUUGUUGUUAUAGUUCAGGGCUUAAAAAUAGACUUGAUGUAUGGAUUUUCUGUUUUAUAGGCAGAGGAAAGAUUCAAUAUAUUGAUUUGAGCUGUAAGGCUUACUUCAUUCAGGGUGCAAUCAAAGCAUGUGGAUUUCUACAACUUUGGGUGCACAGUUUUGGUCAGACUGCAGGUGCAGAAGUUGUUAGGCAAGCCUGCAGGAGCAUGUUAGUGGGCAACGCUGACAUGUCUGCAUGCUUUCAUUCCUAAAAUGAUCCCAUGUCUUGUGCUUUUAGUGAAUUCAUUUCCUCCAGGAUAGCUCUAGAGAGCAGUUCAGAGACACCUUCCAAUAAGGUAACUUCCCUCACUGCCAUUUUAUCAAGACUUAACAUCACUCCUUUCCAUGUGGUGAGUUUAAUGCAGGUAUCUUUGUUAUCUCACAAGAAAGGCAGUGAUGAACUUGGAAGGCCAAGAAGCUUUGGUGAUUCUCCUCCCCUGCCUGUACUCUCAGGAUCAAUUAUAAGGAGGCUAGGCUACUGCAUAUGCAAUUUACUGGAGAAGUGAUAGGAAGUUUUACCAGCUUACCUGUUUCAUUCUACUAGCAAGUUAUCACACAGCAGCCCCCAGGCACCCCCAGACUACAGAGGGCUUCCUAAAUACAGGAAUGAAGCAUUAACCCAUCACACAGAGAAGGAAAAUAAGAUAAGGACACUGCAAGCCAGGGGUAAAAACAGGACAAGACACCAAAUAUCCCUCUUCUCAAGGUGAAUUUCUCCUCUACUGAAAUGGACGACUGUCCAUCACCCACCAUUUUGCUUAUGCUUGUUCAGUUGCAAAGAAAUCUAUCUGAUGAAGUGAAACACCACCUCCAAGAAAUGAGGUAGCCGUUAAGUGAGAAUACUAGAUUCACACAAGCUUCGUGGCAGAUGCCUUAGGACUGAUCUGUUCAACCUGGAAUGGAAAACGAUUUGCUUUUUUUUCCUUCCCACAGGGCAUAAGUCUUCCCUGUCUCUCUGUUGUGCUAGUGAAAGCAAAUUUCACCAGAAACUGAAUCCAUUUACAAAUAUUUUGAUAGAUUGAGACAGCUGCUCAGGAAAAAAGAAAGAUUAAACACAUGCAGUUAAGAUACAGUGUCACACGAACAGCUGUUGCAGAGACCCACAGCCUAUGUGGACUUCAUUUUAUUUAUGUCUUUUAAAGAUCAUGUGGGUUUCCCUGUAAAAUAGAAAUAAAGUGAGCACUAUUUCUGUUGGUAAUAAAUUAAAGAAAAAUCUCAGAUAAUUUAUCCUCCAAAAUGCACAGUCUUGACUGUUUUUACUUGUUUUGGCAGGAAGACAGAAAUGCAAAAUGUACAAGCACUGCUCUUGUAUACACUCACGUCUCAUUCUAUAGAUCUGGUUGGCAACUCCUUCUGAGGCUCUCAGUUUCUGACUGGAACAGGUCAUUAUGUGUGCACCUCAAUCCAUCACUUCCGAAGCAUCCUGUGAAGAAAUUGCCAUUAGAAACCAGUGUAGCGAAACCAACUACCUUCUAUCUAAAAGCAUGACUUGCAUUUUUGUAUCACAUCUCAUUCUUUUUAUUCCUAACAUUACCUAUCUAUCUGUAUAGUUACUUUCUGUAGCAGCAGAGAUCAUGCUGUAUCUAUUUUUACUGCACCAAUUACUGCUAUUUUAAGACUGUAUAGAAAUGUCUACAAAUAAAGAUUAGCUGAAAGUUC